RNAcentral lists this ribosomal RNA (469 nucleotides) under Sogata hakonensis. Its description in RNAcentral is "partial 16S ribosomal RNA". Lineage: Eukaryota; Metazoa; Arthropoda; Insecta; Hemiptera; Delphacidae. The record is from RNAcentral.
AUUAAAUAGCUGCAGUAUUUUAACUGUACUAAGGUAGCAUAAUAAUUAGUCUUUUAAUUGAGGUCUGGAAUGAAUGGUUUGACAAGAAAAUAACUUUAUUAAUUAAUCUUUUUUCAAUUUUAUUUUUUAGUUAAAAAGCUAAAAUUUUUAAAUGGGACGAUAAGACCCUAUAGAUCUUAAAAUUUUUUAUAUUUAAAAUAAUUUUAUGGGUUAAUUUAAAUUUUGUUUGGGAAAAUUUUUUGUUGGGGUGACAUAUAAAUUUUUAAAACUUUAAAAUUUUCUUACAUUUAUAGAUGUAUAAAUGAUCCAAACUUUUUGAUUAUUAAAAUAAGAUACCUUAGGGAUAACAGCGUAAUAAAUUUGUAUAGUACACAUAAAUAAGUUUGUUUACGACCUCGAUGUUGAAUUAAUAUUAAUUUUUGGAGCAGAAGCUAUAAUUUUGGGUCUGUUCGACCUUUAUAAUAUUACA